AUCCAGUUCUCUGAGGGGGCU
Molecule: microRNA, 21 nt
Filed under: Homo sapiens (human)
Lineage: Eukaryota; Metazoa; Chordata; Mammalia; Primates; Hominidae
Description: hsa-miR-5195-3p
Source: miRBase by way of RNAcentral